Amphimedon queenslandica is the source of this 263-nucleotide long non-coding RNA. RefSeq lists it as uncharacterized. The transcript is spliced from 3 exons. The record is from RefSeq and is a predicted model, not a curated record. Lineage: Eukaryota; Metazoa; Porifera; Demospongiae; Haplosclerida; Niphatidae.
GAAUUAUUGCAAUACAAAGAUUAUGACAUUGAACAUCAGCAGAAGUUGGAUGAACACACCAAGUCAAUGAGCUUGUCCCAGUACAAUGACUUUACUCAGUCAAGGAGAGCAUCAUUUGUUAACAAGAAAAAGUUCAAAGAUUGGUUGUGUCUCCAGUCAUUGGUUGCUGAUGUUAAAGUUCAUGAGAUUGUCAUUGAGUUAUUAGCUUACAUAGCCUACAGAGCAGUGCAAAGUGUAAGUAUCUUUUCUAUUUAAAGCACUGU